Molecule: ribosomal RNA, 253 nt
Filed under: uncultured bacterium
Lineage: Bacteria
Description: partial 16S ribosomal RNA
Rfam family: Bacterial small subunit ribosomal RNA
Source: RNAcentral
UACGUAGGUGGCGAGCGUUGUCCGGAUUUACUGGGCGUAAAGAGCGCGCAGGCGGUCGUACAAGUCGCGUGUGGAAGCCCCCGGCUCAACUGGGGAGGGUCACGCGAUACUGUUCGACUCGAAGGCAGGAGAGGGUAGUGGAAUUCCCGGUGUAGUGGUGAAAUGCGUAGAUAUCGGGAGGAACACCAGUGGCGAAGGCGACUACCUGGCCUGUUCUUGACGCUGAGGCGCGAAAGCUAGGGUAGCAAACGGG